Andrographis paniculata is the source of this 1157-nucleotide long non-coding RNA. RefSeq lists it as uncharacterized. The record is from RefSeq and is a predicted model, not a curated record. The transcript has 5 exons. NCBI's taxonomy places the organism in Eukaryota, Viridiplantae, Streptophyta, Magnoliopsida, Lamiales, Acanthaceae.
UGUAGUUCAUCCAUGCCCACGGGUCACAUUUUAUUUUACUUUAGUUUUCUUAAGCACUUCGGCGGUCGGUUGGGCCGCCGAGUGGGGGGUUUUGCGGCGAGGAAAGGAGAAUUGCAUGCCGCCAAAUGCCAAUCCCACCACCGCCGCAUGGGUUUGAAGGAGAAUUGAGCUGGUACUCGUUUUUUGAAAUUUCGAAUUUCGAAGGGAAGUUGCAAUUUUGCAAUUGAAAUGAACAUACUUGUGCUUGGAUCAUACUUAUGCUGUGGGACUGCACUUCAUUUAGUUUUCUUAUGCUACCGAUUCUGAGCACAAGUGGUAUCUGAUUACUCAGAAACAUAAAGUUUUCCCCAUGAUUUUGAAGCUUUUUCAAGCCCAUGUACUAAGAACUUGGUAGUUUUUAGCACUGAACAAGAUUUUAUCUCACUCACAUGUGCGUACAUCCUGUGCUGACGACUGAAAAUCUUGUUUAGAUUGUGUCCCAUAGAGUUAUGUCUGUUUAUAAAUACCUCGGCGCACAUUCACGCGAGGACAAAAGCAGCUUACGGGAGCCAACCGACAGGUGGGCAGUUACCGCUUUGACGAUGACUGCACCAAUAGCAGCAUGCGAAUCUAUUAAUCCUUCCAAUCUUGACUUUGGUGCAUUCGGUUCCCUGUUCCACGGAAUGAAGUGAUGGCUGAAGAAGCGAAAAAUUACAACAUGUCAAUUGUCAGGUAGCUGCUCGAGACAAAUAUGACGCUAGUGAGACACUUGGCAUACUAUAUCUUCAUGUGCACGCACAUAUUCCGUUAGAUUCCAUUCUUACAACAAUGUUCCUGUUAAAAAUAGUAUUUAUCAUGUUUGGAAUGAUCAGCAGGGCCGUCAUCGAUGCUGCAUGCCAAGAACUCUCCUCCGACAACAGUACGGUUCGCUUCUUGAUCUUAUUUUAUUGAACGCCUUAAACAUUUGAAGUUAGAUUAAAAACAUACCUAAGAAAAGCUCCCCUGUAUGUAGCCAGGAAUCUGUGUUUGGUUAUCUGUCAUCUUAUCUAUUCAGACAAAUGAAUGACAUGAUGUAAUUACAAGUUGAUCCAACAACAUAUAGCUGUAUUUAUCUAAUUAUUGCACCUGAGCUGCUUAGAUUGACUUAGCAACUCCCUUAAUGACAACUUUGUCUCUAA